GUCAAUCCCUUAAUAAAAAUACUGUCUUGGAUGGAUAUCUUUAAAUUUGAUUAAAUCAUGCAAAAUUUGAACAAGUUGUGAGUGAUGCAGUUAAGUAGUAAAAAUGAGUAUCACAAAGGUGGUAAUUUGAAAAGAUCUGAAAUGAAACCUCUCCAACUAAAGCGCCAAAGUUGGAAUUGUGCAUCCUUACAGAUACUAUAUAAUUACCAAUCCAGCAAGCAAAGAAAAGGCGCGGAAAAGAUAUAUCAAAGAAUCCUGGAGAAAAUAUUGAUGGUCAUGUAUCAAAUAAACUUGUGAAAGUGGGCAAGAGUGUCGUUGUGAAGACUUCAUCAUUACCUGUGAAAAAUAUGCUCAGUUCCUCAAAUAAUGUUGGCGUACCUAGUGAACAUUAUGAAGACCUGAAAUUUCAGAAGCAAAUGGAUGUCUCUGGAAUUAGUUUGAAAAAGAAAANUGCUGAUGCUACACCAGUUUCGG
RNAcentral lists this long non-coding RNA (474 nucleotides) under Vigna radiata. Its description in RNAcentral is "long non-coding RNA (VRAD_LNC007206)". The record is from RNAcentral. Lineage: Eukaryota; Viridiplantae; Streptophyta; Magnoliopsida; Fabales; Fabaceae.